GCGUUUGUGGUUUAGUGGUAAAAUCCAUCGUUGCCAUUUGAGGAGUUUCAUCUCCUCAAACAACCUCGAUGGGCCCCGGGUUCGAUUCCCGGCGAACGCA
Molecule: non-coding RNA, 100 nt
Organism: Ciborinia camelliae
Lineage: Eukaryota; Fungi; Ascomycota; Leotiomycetes; Helotiales; Sclerotiniaceae
Source: the annotation of a GenBank genome assembly